This 319-nucleotide long non-coding RNA is filed under the name Panax ginseng (ginseng). RNAcentral's name for it is "long non-coding RNA (PGIN_LNC010140)". The record is from RNAcentral. Lineage: Eukaryota; Viridiplantae; Streptophyta; Magnoliopsida; Apiales; Araliaceae.
UUAAAGGCUCGGAGAUUCCACCUAAAAGCACUAGAAAGGGGUUUGAAUAUUCAUUCAACUCGAAGGACUCAAGAAGGCUCUUGGAAUCCCUGUUACCCUAACACGGUUCCCGGAUUCUAGGGGUUCUGCCACGCGCCAUUGGAGUAAUCGCCCACCUGUCGUUCUCCCAUUUUCAAUCAACCAAUCAAUUCCGUGCUUUUUGUGGAUUUCUUUUCUCCUCAGCCAACAUAAAACUCUAACCCUAGCAAGGUACGAUUUUCUUGCCCAAAGUUUUUUUAUUUGGGACCAACUAAAUGGGCUGUUUAGUCCUGAUCACUUG